Cebus imitator (Panamanian white-faced capuchin) is the source of this 107-nucleotide small nuclear RNA. The record is from Ensembl. NCBI's taxonomy places the organism in Eukaryota, Metazoa, Chordata, Mammalia, Primates, Cebidae.
GUGCUUGCUUCGGCAGCACAUAUCCUAAAAUUGGAACGAUACAGAGAAGAUUAGCAUGACCCCUGCACAAGGAUGACAUGAAAAUUCGUGAAGUGUUCCACGUUUUU